This 441-nucleotide ribosomal RNA is filed under the name uncultured bacterium. RNAcentral describes it as "partial 16S ribosomal RNA". It matches the Rfam family "Bacterial small subunit ribosomal RNA", at positions 338 to 795 of the family's 1533-position model. The record is from RNAcentral.
CCUACGGGUGGCAGCAGUGGGGGAUAUUGCACAAUGGGGGAAACCCUGAUGCAGCGACGCCGCGUGAGUGAAGAAGUAUUUCGGUAUGUAAAGCUCUAUCAGCAGGGAAGAAAAUAGACGGAACUUGAUUAAGAAGCCCCGCCUAACUACGGGCCACAAGCCGCGGGAUAACUGAGGGGGCAAGCGUUAUCCGGAUUUACUGGGUGUAAAGGGAGCGUAGACGGCAAUACAAGUCGGAAGUGAAAGACCCGGGCUCAACCUGGGAACUGCGUUGGAAACUGUAUGGCUGGAGUGCGGGAGAGGUAAGCGGAAUUCCUAGUGUAGCGGUGAAAUGCGUAGAUAUUAGGAGGAACACCAGUGGCGAAGGCGGCUUACUGGACAGUAACUGACGUUGAGGCUCGAAAGCGUGGGGAGCAAACAGGAUUAGAUACCCUGGUAGUC